Molecule: ribosomal RNA, 253 nt
Filed under: uncultured bacterium
Lineage: Bacteria
Description: partial 16S ribosomal RNA
Rfam family: Bacterial small subunit ribosomal RNA
Source: RNAcentral
UACGAAGGGGGCUAGCGUUGUUCGGAAUUACUGGGCGUAAAGCGCGCGCAGGCGGUCCUUCAAGUCAGAGGUGAAAGCCCAGAGCUCAACUCUGGAACGGCCUUUGAGACUAGAGGACUUGGGUACGGGAGAGGUGAGUGGAAUUCCGAGUGUAGAGGUGAAAUUCGUAGAUAUUCGCAAGAACACCAGUGGCGAAGGCGGCUCACUGGCCCGAUACUGACGCUGAGGUGCGAAAGCGUGGGGAGCAAACAGG